This 29-nucleotide non-coding RNA is filed under the name Homo sapiens (human). Lineage: Eukaryota; Metazoa; Chordata; Mammalia; Primates; Hominidae. The record is from RNAcentral.
UUCAUGAACUGGGUCUAGCUUGGAGCCUU